GUGGGACCAAAUAGCCUGAAUGAGGUCACAUUCCUGGUACAAAUAAGACAGAGAUUGUGGCAUACCAUGAUGCAGAAUGACCUGGCUGCCCUGGGGUCCUGGAGUCCAGCCCACAGGCUUCAGGAGACAGAAGAACGGGUCAAGCAGCCUCCAGGUCAAAACAGCACCUAAGAGACAGCCCUCUGCCAUGAAUGGGGUCCCUGGACAGAGGCCCGAAAAUGUCCUCUGCCCCCAUAAGAGAAGGUGCCCGCACUCUAAGCCCCUUGUCAUCCCUCAAUCUAGUGGACUCUCUCACAGAACCCUCCCCCACUUUCCCAUGCUCCUCGCGCCCGAUGCACAAAAAUAGGGGUUCCCAACCCCUCCCCUGAUCUUUAUACAUACUCAUCUUCCCCCUUUGUGGGCUUCCCAUCCCCGCCAGAAUCUACCUCCACCCACUCUCUCCUAAAGCCCUCCUCUUCCUCUGCUGCAGUCCCCUAAUCUAAAUCUAAGAACAGUGGCGCUGCGCCCUCUGUCGGCCGCAAACGUAAAAAACACACCCCAAGAUCCUAGCCCAUCCCACGUGUCCCCCAGAUAGCUCUUCCCGACACACCACAAGCAUACCGCAUUUCCGAGCCACAAUCCCACAAGUGGUACUCCCAAUGCCACAUCAGAACCACACCCCCGAUCCUGCCCCAUCCCACGCCACACAAGAUGCCGGCCCCACUCGCUGUGUGCUGUGCGCUGUGGCGCCUACUGCGCUCCGGUGCCACACCCCCCGCCCCAAAGCCUUAAGGCCUUCACAGCUCCACUCGUGCGAACCAGCAGUCCUACCCGCCUGGGCACAAAUCCAAGCACAACAGCCCGAGGUCACACCCCCACGCCAGGGCCUUGGCGCUUCAAACCCCUCCAGGGCACAACACCUUUGGGCCACAAGGUCUCUGCUCCAGGCCCAGCCCACGCAAGGCAGAACCAUCUCUGCGCCCGACCCUCCACACCAGCUGAAUGCCUACAGCCCCGCGUAGGAGAGCGUCGGGCGGACCGACCCACCUGCUGCGCAGCGUUGCCCGCGGGCUCCCGCAGUCUCGAACACCGAGAGGCGGUGGCGACCCACUGCAGUGCGCGUGCGCGGCCUGCAGCGCCGGAAACCGAGACCCCCAGCGUGCUGCGGGGUCCUUCGCCAGACCUGGGCGGGGAGAAGCUGCUCUGACAGCCUUGCCAGUCAAUCCGAGGGAAGGCUGGCUCAGCUUCGCUGCCACGUGCGCCUGCGUCACUUCUGAUGCCAUUGCCAUGACAACGGAGUAAACAAACCGAAACCUAAAAAAGACCGGAAAAUACCGGUUUAAGAAACAAACACACAGACACUACAAGACCUAAAGACAGUGAAGACGAGUCUAGAAUUCUGAUCCAGAGAUGAGACACGGAGAAACUGAGAUAAGGAGACCAAAGACAAAAAUGGGGGCCCAAGCACAAACUGGAGACUCGAGAUACUGAACAGUCAAGAGACAAGUGCACAGAUCCAGUAUGGGCAGACAGAGCUAAAAACCCACUGUAAGAGGCAGGGAUUCACGCCCGGAGAGACUGGCGCGAAGGUACUGUUUGGGUGAAAAGUUCCAGAAAGCAAACUGAAUUUUUGUCAAAUCCUUGCUAAUCGCUACACUGAGCGACAAAAGAAGUUGGCCCUAGACGCCUGAAGAGAGCAGAAGAAAGCUGCUUUCCAUGGCAGAGCUUCUGAAAGCCAUUUUAGCUGUCUGGAGUGAUUUUUAAAUGUGUAACCGAACAGCUUAUUACUGAAUAAGUUUCAUCCCUUGUUUACAUACACAAAAACACUUUUUGUUUCAUUCUGAGAAUUUUAACUCACACAACAAUCAAAACAAUUUCACUCCUCCGUUUAACAACCACACCUUCCACCACUUAAAACCACUGAGGUGUGGUCCCUCAGUGCAGAUUUGUCCUACGAAUUCAUAUAAUUCUUAUUGAACACUACAGUGCAUGGCCUUUCGACAUACUCUUUCACUGUACAUAAUUCCUUUGAGAUCCAUUAGUAUGUUUAAAUACUUUGUUCCUCGUUAUUGUUUGGAAUUCAAUAAUCUACAAGAUUAAACAUGCACCAGUGGGACUUU
This is a long non-coding RNA of Alexandromys fortis (reed vole), 2099 nucleotides long. RefSeq lists it as uncharacterized. The record is from RefSeq and is a predicted model, not a curated record. The transcript has 2 exons. Lineage: Eukaryota; Metazoa; Chordata; Mammalia; Rodentia; Cricetidae.